This 201-nucleotide ribosomal RNA is filed under the name uncultured bacterium. RNAcentral's name for it is "partial 16S ribosomal RNA". It matches the Rfam family "Bacterial small subunit ribosomal RNA", at positions 328 to 539 of the family's 1533-position model. The record is from RNAcentral.
ACGCUCGACACCUACGGGAGGCAGCAGUGGGGAAUAUUGGGCAAUGGGCGAAAGCCUGACCCAGCAACGCCGCGUGAGGGAAGAAGGUUUUCGGAUUGUAAACCUCUGUCCUCAGGGACGAAGGACGUGACGGUACCUGAGGAGGAAGCCCCGGCUAACUACGUGCCAUCAGCCGCGGUAAUCUGAGCGGGCUGGCAAGGC